Molecule: non-coding RNA, 95 nt
Organism: Xylariomycetidae sp. FL0641
Lineage: Eukaryota; Fungi; Ascomycota; Sordariomycetes
Source: the annotation of a GenBank genome assembly
CUCCCAAUAGCUCAGUUGGUUUAGAGCGUUCGGCUGUAACUGUUAAAGACAUGAUUGUCACCGAAAGGUCACCUGUUCGACUCAGGUUUGGGAGA